CGCUUAACACAUGCAAGUCGAACGGGAUCUUCGGAUCUAGUGGCAGACGGGUGAGUAACGCGUGGGAACCUGCCCAGUAGUAGAGAAUAACUUGAGGAAACUUAAGCUAAUACUUUAUACACCCUUCGGGGAAAAGCUUUAUGCGCUAUUGGAUGGGCCCGCGUUAGAUUAGUUUGUUGGUGAGGUAAUGGCUCACCAAGACUACGAUCUAUAGCUGGUCUGAGAGGAUGAUCAGCCACACUGGGACUGAGACACGGCCCAGACUCCUACGGGAGGCAGCAGUGGGGAAUAUUGGACAAUGGGGGCAACCCUGAUCCAGCGAUGCCGCGUGAGUGAUGAAGGCCUUCGGGUUGUAAAACUCUUUCGUCAGGGAAGAUAAUGACGGUACCUGAAGAAGAAGAUCCGGCUAACUCCGUGCCAGCAGCCGCGGUAAUACGGAGGGAUCUAGCGUUAUUCGGAAUUACUGGGCGUAAAGCGAGCGUAGGCGGAUUUGUAAGUUGGAGGUGAAAUCCCAGAGCUUAACUCUGGAACUGCCUUCAAAACUACAUUUCUUGAGUUUGGUAGAGGAGAGUGGAAUUCCUAGUGUAGAGGUGAAAUUCGUAGAUAUUAGGAGGAACACCAGUGGCGAAGGCGACUCUCUGGGCCAAUACUGACGCUGAGGUUCGAAAGCAUGGGUAGCGAACAGGAUUAGAUACCCUGGUAGUCCAUGCAGUAAACGAUGAGUGCUAGAUGUUGGGAAUUUAAAUUUCCAGUAUCGCAGUUAACGCGUUAAGCACUCCGCCUGG
RNAcentral lists this ribosomal RNA (785 nucleotides) under uncultured Alphaproteobacteria bacterium. RNAcentral describes it as "bacterial SSU rRNA". It matches the Rfam family "Bacterial small subunit ribosomal RNA", at positions 45 to 876 of the family's 1533-position model. The record is from RNAcentral. Lineage: Bacteria; Pseudomonadati; Pseudomonadota; Alphaproteobacteria.